Molecule: ribosomal RNA, 255 nt
Filed under: uncultured bacterium
Lineage: Bacteria
Description: partial 16S ribosomal RNA
Rfam family: Bacterial small subunit ribosomal RNA
Source: RNAcentral
UACGUAGGGUGCGAGCGUUGUCCGGAAUUAUUGGGCGUAAAGAGCUCGUAGGCGGUGUGUCACGUCGUUCGUGAAAACCUGCAGCUUAACUGUGGGCGUGCGGUCGAUACGGGCAUCACUGGAGUUCGGCAGGGGAGACUGGAAUUCCUGGUGUAGCGGUGAAAUGCGCAGAUAUCAGGAGGAACACCGGUGGCGAAGGCGGGUCUCUGGGCCGUAACUGACGCUGGAGGAGCGAAAGCAUGGGGAGCGAACAGG